Long non-coding RNA from Gallus gallus (chicken), 714 nucleotides. The record is from Ensembl. Lineage: Eukaryota; Metazoa; Chordata; Aves; Galliformes; Phasianidae.
CAAAGCUUGUUAGCAGAGUUACUUCCUACCAAUGGCUCUUUUGGUCUUAUGAGGAAGUAAUGCUCUUGUAUCCUGACAAGGCCUUUAGCAGCUCCAUCUGACCAUUUCCAUGCUACUUUUCCUGCAGUUCUCUGAAAAAUCUGACCUCAAGAAUUACCUCUGCAACCAUUUGAAGUUGGUAUUCCAAACAGGCCUUGGAUGGGAGGAUUACAUCACAGACCUGGUGAGAUAUUCCUGUCAGUAUUUCCUAAUGCAGCAUUUACUUUUUAUUGAAGUAGAGGGACUUUGUUGACUAGUGUUCAGAUGUUGGCCCACAACAUCCUUGUGAUACUUUUUUCCAGAAUUCCUUCACAAUGAAUUGUUUCCUGAACUUCUUUUGUGCUGUUGACUAUUCUUGCCUAACUGUCUCUCACACCAAUAAAAUGAUCCACUCUGCUUAAGAUUACCAUGGACUUCACAGUUUGUAACAGUACGUCAGAUGAGCAUUUCUCCCUGGUUCUGGACUCCAGUCCUUGGCUUUGCAUUCACUGCCUGGGCAGGCAAUGUCUAUACCCUCAAAGGCAGAUCAUUGGAAAAGUGCAAUGUGUUUUGCCAUGUAUUGAAGACAAAUUGCAAACAGCAGAUCAAGUCAGUUGUAUCCAUGGAAACGUCACUAUGCAGUUCCUUCGCUACCCUUCUGAUUAGGAUCUGGCUGUUCUGUAGUCCAGAUCUCCC